Molecule: ribosomal RNA, 469 nt
Filed under: uncultured bacterium
Lineage: Bacteria
Description: partial 16S ribosomal RNA
Rfam family: Bacterial small subunit ribosomal RNA
Source: RNAcentral
GCGCAUAACACAUGCAAGUCGAGCGAGGGCUCAUUUCCCGCAAGGGAGAUGGGUUCCUAGCGGCGAACGGGUGAGUAACACGUGGGCAACCUUUCCUAUCGCGGGGGAUAACAGCGGGAAACCGCUGCUAAUACCGCAUGUAGUCACCGGUCGCAUGGCCGGUGAAAAAAGCAGCAAUGCACGAUAGGGUGGGCCCGCGGCCUAUCAGUUAGUCGGUGGGGUAACGGCCUACCGAGGCGAUGACGGGUAGCUGGUCUGAGAGGACGACCAGCCACACGGGGACUGAGACACGGCCCCGACUCCUACGGGAGGCAGCAGUGAGGAAUCUUCCGCAAUGGGCGAAAGCCUGACGGAGCGACACCGCGUGUGGGAUGAAGUCUUUCGGGAUGUAAACCACUGUUGGAGGGGAAGACUUCGACGGUACCCUCCGAGAAAGCCCCGGCUAACUACGUGCCAGCAGCCGCAGUAA